UAUUGGACAAUGGGCGCAAGCCUGAUCCAGCCAUGCCGCGUGAGUGAUGAAGGCCUUAGGGUUGUAAAGCUCUUUCACCGGUGAAGAUAAUGACGGUAACCGGAGAAGAAGCCCCGGCUAACUUCGUGCCAGCAGCCGCGGUAAUACGAAGGGGGCUAGCGUUGUUCGGAAUUACUGGGCGUAAAGCGCAUGUAGGCGGACAUUUAAGUCAGGGGUGAAAUCCCGGGGCUCAACCUCGGAACUGCCUUUGAUACUGGGUGUCUAGAGUGUGGAAGAGGUAAGUGGAAUUCCGAGUGUAGAGGUGAAAUUCGUAGAUAUUCGGAGGAACACCAGUGGCGAAGGCGGCUUACUGGUCCAUUACUGACGCUGAGGUGCGAAAGCGUGGGGAGCAAACAGGA
This 398-nucleotide ribosomal RNA is filed under the name uncultured bacterium. Its description in RNAcentral is "bacterial SSU rRNA". It matches the Rfam family "Bacterial small subunit ribosomal RNA", at positions 362 to 777 of the family's 1533-position model. The record is from RNAcentral.